RNAcentral lists this ribosomal RNA (497 nucleotides) under uncultured bacterium. Its description in RNAcentral is "partial 16S ribosomal RNA". It matches the Rfam family "Bacterial small subunit ribosomal RNA", at positions 28 to 507 of the family's 1533-position model. The record is from RNAcentral.
GAUGAACGCUGGCGGCGUGCCUAAUACAUGCAAGUCGAGCGAACAGACGAGGAGCUUGCUCCUCUGACGUUAGCGGCGGACGGGUGAGUAACACGUGGAUAACCUACCUAUAAGACUGGGAUAACUUCGGGAAACCGGAGCUAAUACCGGAUAAUAUAUUGAACCGCAUGGUUCAAUAGUGAAAGACGGUUUUGCUGUCACUUAUAGAUGGAUCCGCGCCGCAUUAGCUAGUUGGUAAGGUAACGGGUUACCAAGGCAACGAUGCGUAGCCGACGUGUGAGGGGGAUCGGCGACACUGGAGCGUGAACACGGUCCAGACUCCUACGGGAGGCAGCAGUCGGGAAUCUUCCGCAAUGGGCGAAAGCCUGACGGAGCAACGCCGCGUGAGUGAUGAAGGUCUUCGGAUCGUAAAACUCUGUUAUUAGGGAAGAACAAAUGUGUAAGUAACUAUGCACGUCUUGACGGUACCUAAUCAGAAAGCCACGGCUAACUACGUG